UGCCAGACUCCUACGGGAGGCAGCAGUGAGGAAUAUUGGUCAAUGGGCGCGAGCCUGAACCAGCCAAGUCGCGUGAGGGAUGACGGUCCUACGGAUUGUAAACCUCUUUUGCCGGGGAGCAAGCGUGCGUUCGUGAACGCGCGUCGAGAGUACCCGGAGAAAAAGCAUCGGCUAACUCCGUGCCAGCAGCCGCGGUAAUACGGAGGAUGCGAGCGUUAUCCGGAUUUAUUGGGUUUAAAGGGUGCGCAGGCGGAUUUUUAAGUCAGCGGUCAAAUCGUGGGGCUCAACCCCAUCCAGCCGUUGAAACUGGGGAUCUAGAGUGUGCGAGAGGUAUGCGGAAUGCGUGGUGUAGCGGUGAAAUGCAUAGAUAUCACGCAGAACCCCGAUUGCGAAGGCAGCAUACCGGUGCACAACUGACGCUCAGGCACGAAAGCGUGGGUAUCGAACAGGAUUAGAUACCCUGGUAG
This 467-nucleotide ribosomal RNA is filed under the name uncultured bacterium. RNAcentral's name for it is "bacterial SSU rRNA". It matches the Rfam family "Bacterial small subunit ribosomal RNA", at positions 329 to 793 of the family's 1533-position model. The record is from RNAcentral.